CUGGGCUUUAGAAGGAAGAAGAGGAAGGAAGGAAGAAGAGAAGUAGAAUAGAGUAGAGAAGCCAAGCCAAGCCAAGGGAACCGAACCGACGACAUGGCGCCGCCGUCCCGGUUGCUUCCGGCGACCUUGCAGAUUCUCCGCCGCCGCUGCGCCUCCCGCUUCUCCACCGCCUCCUCCCUUGUCUCCCCGCCGUCCAAGGCUGUGCUCUACGACGAGCACGGCGCCCCCGACCAGGUGCUCCGGGUGGCGGAUGUGCCGCCCGUCCACCUCGGCGACCGCGACGUCUGUGUCCGGAUGCUGGCCGCCCCCAUCAACCCCUCCGACAUCAACCGCAUCGAGGGCGUCUACCCCAUCAGGCCGCCGCUCCCAGGCGCCGUCGGGGGUUGCGAGGGGGUGGGGCAGGUCCACGCCCUCGGCCCCGCCGUCACCGCCCCGCUCUCCCCAGGCGAUUGGGUCAUUCCAUCCCCGUCCUCAUUCGGGACAUGGCAGACGUACAUCGUCAAGAACGAGAGCGUGUGGCACAAGGUCCGCAGCGACGUGCCCAUGGAAUACGCCGCCACCGUCACCGUCAACCCCUUGACCGCGCUCAGGAUGCUCCGAGACUUUGUGCAACUCAAUCCUGGUGAUGCCAUUGUCCAGAAUGGCGCUACCAGCAUUGUCGGCCAGUGCGUGAUUCAGCUCGCCAAGGUACAUGGAAUUCACACCAUCAACAUUAUAAGGGACAGGCCUGGCUCAGAGGAAGCAAAAGGUAAACUCAAACAACUUGGCGCAGAUGAGGUGUUCACGGAAUCUCAGCUAGACAUGAAGAAUCUCAAGAGCCUGCUGGGUGCUUUUCCAGAACCUGCAUUAGGAUUUAACUGUGUCGGAGGAAAUGCUGCUUCUCUGGUACUCAAGUUUUUGAGGCAAGGAGGCACCAUGGUGACAUAUGGCGGAAUGUCCAAGCGACCUGUCACUGUUCCUACUUCAUAUUUCAUUUUUAAGAUACUUAACGCGACACAAUGCUUUGAAAGGAUAUUUCCAUGCGAGGGUUCUGGCUACAGAAGUGGAUGAACUCAGAUAAGGCAGAGGAUUGCAGAACAAUGAUAGACUACCUCUUGGGCCUAGUGCACGAAGGCAAACUCAAAUACGAGAUGGAGUCGAUUCCAUUCAGUGAAUUCAGCUUGGCUCUGGAGAAGGCCCUGGGCAAACAUGGAAGCCAGCCAAAGCAAGUUGUGAGGUUCUGAGAUGAAAGAUGGGUGUCAAGUGUUAGGCAGAGCGACUUGGAGUUGUACUCUGGACACAGCAGCUUAGCUAGAUUUAUCUGCGAUCGAGUUCAUCUUGUAAUGAAAUAGCAGUUGUACACAACCGCGACGAUCGGGCCACGCCUGAAGGUUUCGACGAAUUAUGAGUGUGGAUGUUGGUGGAUGCCAUCGUGGUGAGCAGAGUGGUGAGGUCGCGUUGAGAUCCUAAUCCAACCGGUAGGAUGUGGCAGUUCUUGAGUUGAGUGGCUACCCGUGUUGAUAUCACAAUCCAACCGGGUGAGUUUAUUUUGUUUUUCUUUUUGUGAAACAAGUUUAUUUAUCAUUAUCACUACAUAUACCAUAAUUAGCUAGACAUA
Setaria italica (foxtail millet) is the source of this 1597-nucleotide RNA transcript. It is a transcript of the gene named enoyl-[acyl-carrier-protein] reductase, mitochondrial, with no coding region annotated. The transcript is spliced from 8 exons. The record is from RefSeq and is a predicted model, not a curated record. Lineage: Eukaryota; Viridiplantae; Streptophyta; Magnoliopsida; Poales; Poaceae.